Long non-coding RNA from Vigna radiata var. radiata (mung bean), 904 nucleotides. RefSeq lists it as uncharacterized. The transcript has 4 exons. The record is from RefSeq and is a predicted model, not a curated record. Lineage: Eukaryota; Viridiplantae; Streptophyta; Magnoliopsida; Fabales; Fabaceae.
UAAAACCUAAGCGAGACUUUUAUUUUUCUCGAAACCUCUUGCUGCCAAUUUGAUCAGACCCCUUUUUCCCUAUUUCUUAAAAUGUAAGCGGGAUUUUAAUUUUUCACUAAACCCUUGCUCCCAACUUUCAUCAGACCCACUCCAAAAUAUCUCUUCCUAUUUUCCCCCAAAUCUCAACCCUCAAUUUUCACUUCAGUUUCGUCCAGAUCUUUCGUCCAGAGCUUUCGUCCAGUGCUUUCGUUCCAUUGUGCUCGUCAGCUAGGUUGAGCAAAGUGUGGUCGCCCGCCAGUUCAGCAAAGUGUGGUCGCCAGCCAGGUUCAGCAAAGUGUGGUCGUCGUGCGCAACCCAACUCGCGGCCAGGUUUAAUUCUUCAACCUGGUAGUUCACAGAUUCAAACGUGCUUAUUAAUAAGCUGNUGUUAUAACUAAACUUGGGAGGCAUUGUGUUAUUACUGUGUUACUGAGUUGUUCUACUAUUUGGCUGCCAUCAAACUUUGGAAUCUCAUAGUUCUCAAGGAAUAAUUUUGAAUGGAUAAAUCUUGACAACAAAAGUACAAUAGUUUAGAAUGAGUGGCAACAAAAGUACAACAAUUUAGAAUCAGUGGCAACAAAAGUACAACAAUUUAGAAUCAGCGCUUAAAGCAUACAUGAUAAUGAAGGAAGGAAAGAUUCAUGAUGAGUUUACCUCAUUCUUUGAUUCUCAACUUCAAAAAGGUGGUGAUGCAAAUGAGCCCAAGUCUUCUUUAGGUGGUACAAUAGGAUCAUCUGGUGCUAGAAACAUUUAGGAAGUUUAUGAUGUCUUUUAGGAUGAAACUAUAUUUAGCCUAUGGAUUUUGAGUAAUUGAGUUUAGCUGUAAUUAUGAUUCAAUUUAACUUACUUUUAUAUACUAUGGUGUUUUUGAGAA